Molecule: ribosomal RNA, 500 nt
Filed under: uncultured bacterium
Lineage: Bacteria
Description: partial 16S ribosomal RNA
Rfam family: Bacterial small subunit ribosomal RNA
Source: RNAcentral
AUUGAACGCUGGCGGCAUGCCUUACACAUGCAAGCCGAACGGCAGCACGGGAGCAAUCCUGGUGGCGAGUGGCGAACGGGUGAGUAAUGUAUCGGAACGUGCCCAGUCGUGGGGGAUAACGCAGCGAAAGCUGUGCUAAUACCGCAUACGAUCUAUGGAUGAAAGCGGGGGAUCGCAAGACCUCGCGCGAUUGGAGUGGCCGAUAUCGGAUUAGCUAGUUGGUGGGGUAAAAGCUUACCAAGGCGACGAUCUGUAGCUGGUCUGAGAGGACGACCAGCCACACUGGAACGGAGACACGGUCCCGACUCCUACGGGAGGCAGCAGUGGGGAAUUUUGGACAAUGGGCGCAAGCCUUAUCCAGCAAUGCCGCGUGCAGGAUGAAGGCCUUCGGGUUGUAAACUGCUUUUGUACGGAGCGAAAAGGCUCUCUCUAAUACAGGGGGCUCAUGACGGUACCGUAAGAAUAAGCACCGGCUAACUACGUGCCAGCCGCCGCAGUAA